AUUCCUAUGUUUGCACAGCCUACAGAGACUCACUCAACUCUGAUCCCAACUAGAUCCAAAGCAGCCCUCAGCCACGCAGAUGACCAGAAAACUUCUGUUGCCCGGGAGACUACUUGGUAUUUCUGUUGCUCCGGUGAUCGAAGCCUGCCCUGGGUUCUAGAGCACAUCCUUCAUUUGGCCCCGGACCUCUCCUACCCUUUACUGCCCUUCGUCAACUCGGGCCAGAGUCCCUUUGCUGCAGGUGCCCAAGUCUCCCCAAACAAACAUAACACAACAAGGUCUCUCACUUACCACCUACAGUCUGGCUCAGCAGCAAAACCAUUCCCUAGGUCAGGAUCAAUACUUCCCCCUCAAACCCAGCUAAAGAUCCUGACCUAUGGACUUGGAACCACCAGGCCUAAGCCCAGAGAUGGAAGCAGAUAAGACCUCAGAAGGCCCUCCGGCCACUCAGGAUGCAAAGAAACACCCUUCUUUAACAGUCCCCCAUGCUGAAGACUUGCCUGAGGCCACUACCCCUGAAAGUCCCCCGCACCUUUUGAGCUCACAGGAGUAUUUCCAGCCUCCAAAAGUCCACUCUAAAACAUAUCCUUCCCUCGAUCUUGGCACCAAGGACUCUGAGGACCUCCAGGAUCCUUCUGUCUCUGAAACGCCUUUAAAGUUGGAUACUGCCAAUCUUCCUUCCACACCAUCUCAAUCGUCUGCCCAGUCUGUGAUCUCCCUAGAAAGAGCCAUCUCUAAGAUCCCUUUGGAUGAUUUCAUCUAUGAGAAUUCUAUCUCUGAAGUCCAAGAAGAACCUCUUCCGCUCUCACCAACCACCGAUAUCUCUAAGUAUGAGUAUCCUAUCUCCGACGUCCAAGAAGAACCUCUUCUGCUCUCACCAACCACCAAUAUCUCUAAGUAUGAGGAUUCUAUCUCCGACGUCCAAGAAGAACCUCUUGAGGACACACCAACAGCCGAUAUCUCUGAGACUGAGUAUUCUAUCUCCGACGUCCAAGAAGAACCUCUUGAGCCCCCACCAACAGCCGAUAUCCCUGAGAGUGAGGAUUAUAUCUCCGAUGACCACGAAGAACCUCUUGAGCCCCCACCAACAGCUGAUAUCCCUGAGUCCUCCUAUGAGUUUAUCUCUGAUAAAGUCCCACAGACCCAGGUCCCUGAAUCUGAGCCCUUUCCAAAGCACUCCGUUCCAGAACCUUCCGCCCAAGCCAAGGAGGCCGCAUCUGCAGACGAAGAGGAAGCAGAGGAAGAAGAGCUGACAGGGGGCACUAGUAAGACUGCUGCGGCCGGAUCUGAGCAUCAUGCGAGGAAGAAGAAGGAGAAAAGAGCCCCUCCCUUCCCAGGUUGUGAAAGCCGCCCAGUGGUCCCUGCUAAGCGGGCAGAGCUGGUGGAAAUGGCUAAGGCAAUGCACAGAAAGCAGUUUGAUGAUCAGGUGAACGAUCUUUUCCAAUGGGAGAAGAAUUCAUCCCUGAAGGCCAUCCAGACAGGAAUCGCUUGAUUCUGAAAGUCUUGUGAGACGGCAUGGCGAGAAGCCCACUCGGACAUAGUGCACAGGAUGGCGGAGGAAAGGAGAAGGGCGUCUCUAUUAUUUUUAAAGUCUCAUUUGUUUCAGGGUUUCCACGGGUAGCGAAAUCUCUGUUUAGUUAGCAUCUAACACUGCUUCUUUCUUUGUUUUUUUGUGGUUUUUUUUUUGUUUUUGUUUUGUUUUUUGCAAAUUCAGGUUCUGUCCAGUCCCUUUUUUGCUCUUUUAGAGCCUCCUGUCCACCCCUUACUAUUUAGCAUCUCUAACUCUCUUCUUGGUUUUAAAUGUCUGUUUUCCUGCAUAAACAAAUGGUUUGUGCACUUAAUCCUACACUAAGCUGUCUGAGGUCUGUAUCCUUCUGAUGUUGAAGACCUUGGUUCAAGACUCCCUAAGACUCUAUGUGGUGUGCAGAGAGAUGUGAAAUGUGAGCUCUUCCUAAGUUCUUCUUUCAACACUUAUUAUACGCCAACCAUAUCCAAGCACUGAGUUUCGGUUGUGCAAGCAGUGGGACAAGAAAGGCCUCAAGGAUAAAACUGUCCCUCAAUCGCACAGUGAGACCCUGUCUCAAAAACAAAACCAAGAUCUCUCAGAUAAUGUGCACUCUAGUAAGCAAGGCCGAUAAGUAAAAUGGCAAUUAUAAUUUAGGCCAACAAAUUGCUAUGCUCAGGGUUCUGCAGGGACAGAGGAAAGAGGCACCUACUUUUGGUGCUAGACUAAAAAGCAUUGGAAAGAAAGACUGACAGAGUUAAUAUCUGUAAGGGGAUAAGGAACAGUCAGGCUGGGUGUGCUGCACUUGGAAGGCUGAGGCAGGAGGAUCACACCUUUGAGGAUAUCGCUGUCUGUAUGGUGAGUUCCAGGCCCAGCCUAGAUGGCAUAGCAAAAAGAGCCUAGCAGAAUAGAAAUUUAAGUAAAACGAACGGAUUUGACAAGACAAGAGAUCUUAGAGGGCUGCAGUGUUUUGCCUGGGGUAAGAAUGUUGGGGGGCUGGGGAUUUUGCUCAGUGGUAGAGCGCUUACCUAGGAAGCGCAAGGCCCUGGGUUCGGUCCCCAGCUCCGAAAAAAAGAACCAAAAAAAAAAAAAUGUUGGUGGGGUCCCUAGCUCAGCUCUGGAAAUACAGAACCGCGCAGGCGUCUUUGUGCCCACGUGAAUGAGUCACUGUCACAUCCCAAGGGCACCUGAGAAUCACCAAAAUACUUUAAAUAGGACAAUGACACGCACAUCUGUGCUUUUAAAUGGCCACUUUGGCAGCAGAAUAGACUGCAGAUGGCAAGACCGGACACAGGAAGACCACACUGAAACACCAGUGGUAAUCAAGGACCUUGCUGGGUGAAGCGGGAGAGACACAGAUAGAGAAGGAAGAGCUGAUGAUUGGAUGGCUGGAUGUGCAGAAUGAGUUGAGAAAGAUGAACUACCUGGAGUGACAUUUGGCUUAAGUGUCUGCCUGGACGAACAGGGUGCCUGAAACAGCAGGCGUGAGCACAAAGCUCGUGAGCUGAGGGCCAACAGCCUCCUCUGCCUGCCUAGUCCACUUCUGACCAGAAGUGAGUUUGGAACCAGCGAAUGGAACCCAGAGCUGGAUCCCAACUUUCCCACAUUAGGGCAUAGAAUAGAGUAAGACGGCAUUAGAAUCUGAGGGAUUCUCUCCAGCCUCUCCUCAUACUUUUCAUCUGAACGCUGGCUGGUUACUGAUUCCCACACUCGUGCUUAGACUGGCCGAGCUUUGAGCUUCGCAUGGACUCAGGCUCAUGUAGGCACACCACAAGCUAGGUUUAGCUUUCGUAGAGUUCAGAACGUCUCUGGUAGAGUCCUGGUUCUGUCCACACCCAUUGUGACCUUGCUCUCAACCAAACAUUCCGGGUAGAGCAGGGACCUGGCACUGCAGACAGACUGCAUCAAUCCAGAAGCGGCCAAGCCAAAAGACACACCUGAGCAGGUUUUAGACCCUUAGGAAUUAUGGGUCUGGCCAACUUGCAACCUCCCUCCGGGGUCCUUCACUAGCCAUCCUCCUCAUGAGCCAAUUCCCACCACCUGCUGCCCCCUUGGCCAGUUAGCUUAUCUCUUGUUCACCGUCGACACUUCAGAAAGGUUGGACUCUGGCAUGGAGAGGGGAGGAGGUAUCUACAUUGGCUGGCGCUGCCCACAUUAUUUAUGGGACUGUUUCCGGAUAGGAGAUGAGUCUAAGUGCUUUUGUGGACAUUUGUUGAAAGAACACCAGAUCAUCUCAG
Non-coding RNA from Rattus norvegicus (Norway rat), 3741 nucleotides. NCBI's taxonomy places the organism in Eukaryota, Metazoa, Chordata, Mammalia, Rodentia, Muridae. The record is from RefSeq and is a predicted model, not a curated record.